RNAcentral lists this ribosomal RNA (484 nucleotides) under Fusarium circinatum. Its description in RNAcentral is "partial 28S ribosomal RNA". The stretch from base 1 to 160 matches the Rfam family "Eukaryotic large subunit ribosomal RNA", at positions 3242 to 3401 of the family's 3401-position model. The record is from RNAcentral. Lineage: Eukaryota; Fungi; Ascomycota; Sordariomycetes; Hypocreales; Nectriaceae.
CGCUCGAAGCGCGUCGUGGUAUUUCGCGUAUUGUAAUUUCAACACGAGCGGGGUCAAAUCCUUUGCAGACGACUUAGCUGUGCGAAACGGUCCUGUAAGCAGUAGAGUAGCCUUGUUGUUACGAUCUGCUGAGGGUAAGCCGUCCUUCGCCUCGAUUUCCCCAAUGGGUUCUCCGGAUUUCUGGAGACUUGUAGGGGUUGUGGGCUUUUUUCGAUGUGUCGUCUCUGGACGGGCGGUGCAGGGUAGUCGAGUUGGACUUGGUGGAAUUUCAUUCCGUCGAGUCUGGCGGGACUUUGUGCGGCUGUGUGCUGGACGGUGCAGGGUAGGCUGCUUGGUCUUGGUCGAUUUGAGGAUCGAUUCGAGGGCUGGGCGCUGGUAGCUUGAGGUGUAUGCGGUCUAGGGUAGGCUGGUUUGUCUUGGUCGAAUUUGAUGUUGGCUUCCGUGCGGACCAGAUCGAGCGUGGUACAGGUUAGGUACAGGGUAG